This is a long non-coding RNA of Papaver somniferum (opium poppy), 2298 nucleotides long. RefSeq lists it as uncharacterized. The record is from RefSeq and is a predicted model, not a curated record. The transcript is spliced from 5 exons. NCBI's taxonomy places the organism in Eukaryota, Viridiplantae, Streptophyta, Magnoliopsida, Ranunculales, Papaveraceae.
CCAACUUACUCGUGUACUAACCCCUAUAAAUAUUUCUUGGUUUCCGGUUUCUUUACUUCUGCAACCCAAACCUCCCAGCUCUUAGGUUUGAUUCACUUCUCUUCCAAACAUCGCUUCCUGUUUCUUCGUUUCGGUAACUUCAGAUCCCAAAGUUAAGAUUGAGUUUUCAUAUUUCCAUUUUGUAGAUAUUUUAGGGAUUUCACAGUGGAUUCAUUUUUGUUUUUACCUUGAUUCUGUUUGAUUGAAUUCCUGAAUGGAAAGCUGGACUUGGGUUCACUUUAAACAUUGUUAUUUUUGGAUUUUUUAUGACACUUUGAUAUUCCGAUGGACACUUUGAUAUUCCAAUGAUUUGUAAAUUUAAAAUAAGGUUACAGACAUUAAAAUUAAAGAUUUUGGGCUUCUGCCGGUACUUCCUGUAAAUCCUUUGUUUUGUUGAUGGCAAAGCCCUGAGCGGUGUCGUUUGGUAUACUGACAUCUACAGUUUCUGAUAGUUAGUGCAGUUUGGAAGCGGAAGUGCAGAUUUGUUUGAUGGUGGUGAAGGUGAAUUGUGGUGGUGGUUAGGUCUGUGAGUAUGACAUGUAAGCUUUAGGUUUUUUUCUUUAAUAAAGAUGCUGGUGAUGUCGUGCGAAGAAUUAGGAUCUAAUUAGUUUCUUUGCAUCUCUCAUAACCACCUAUAGUUGAAUUGUGUCAUAAUUUUUUAUUUCUACUAGACGUGUUGCCCUUUGACCGCUAUAAGAACUAUAUUCAAGCGAUUUGAUUUUUUUUGUGCGGUUUGAUAUAAACACGUUUGUUGGAGUUCUGUCUGAUUGAGAAACUUUUUGGUGUCAUACCGGAGGUGGUAACUUUGGUUUUGUUCAUUAGUUAAAUUGGCGAUGAAUUGAUGGAAAGCAAGAAAUCCAUUUGCUUUAUAUUUUUACCGUUUUGUCAACCAGUUAUCUGCUUUAUGUCUGACUAUUUUUUGGAUGACAUAGACGGAAUGAAAUCUGUCAAUAUCAAUAUUGUUUAUGUGAAACAUGUGAUGCAUUUAUUGUGAUAACCUCUUUGGUGUUUUAUAAUGGGUAUCUAGCACGAUCCUUUGCCCAAAACGUAGAUCUCAGUCCAUUAGGUAAGAAGCACCUUCCUGUUCUGGUGCAUUUGGUAACUGGAUAGGUGGUGUGGUUCAUUAUGUUUGGUUUAGUUAUACUCUGCUACUUUUGUGAUUGGUAGGUGUGCAUCCCAUUGUAUCUGUUGUAUACAUAUGGUUAUAAUUUUAUUUUUUCCAUUAUUGGUAUUACAUAACUGAGAUCUAAUUAUGUUGUAGUGGCUAUGCUACUGAUAACCGCCAACGAAAGCUCGAAGGUGAAUGUAUCGAUGCCCUCUAUCAUCACGAUGCACAUUAGUUGGUUCUACUGUUCCAGUUCACGGUGCUGGAGCAUGUGAGAUGGAUAUUGCAACAAGAGAUUUUCCCUGGAAAACUUCAGUAAGACUUUGGUGAAGCCUGUUUGGAAGAAAGAAUGUAGUUGUCCAAUGUGCUACGUAGUUUCAUGUGAGCGUUUGGGAUACUGGUGGCUCCAAGUGCGAUAGACUUGGCUAGACUACCUUUUAUGAGGAACGGAAGUGAAACUCACACUAAAGUGGUUUGGGGUGAUGGAGAUGGCUGGAAACUACCUCAAAUUAAGAAUUAAAGUGCUAAGUAAUUAAGUUACGCACACUUGUUUUUGCAGGACGCAUAUAAGUGGAUUAAUAUCUUUUGCAUGAUUGUUGCAAUGAAAGCUCCUACAGUGUUCUACCUGAAGGACAUAUGAGCAGAAAGUGGAGAGAAAGGAGUGCUUGAUUAUUACAAUUUUAAUGCCUUUGGUGGUAAGGCAUCCAAACUUAAAAACGGAAAAUGUUGGUUUGAAUGUUACAACUUAUUUUAGCAUUUACAUGAGAAAAUUGGAUUUCCCUACCAUGAAAAAUCCAUAGCACCCCAGCUAAUAACCUUAUUUUCAACAACUAGCGAAAACCCCCGCCAUACCGGCAGGGUUCACCAUUCAAUGUUGCAAGAUCAGAUACUCUAUGCAGUAAAGUCGCACCAGAGUGAGAUUUCCUGAAAUGGAAUAUGAUCAGAAUCACAUUGUGGAUUAGUAAAAUAUUGUUCAACGUCAAACUGCCUACUUUGUUGUUGACAAAAGAUGGAACCCCAGACAUCCAUGAUGGAUUCCCCUCAACGGAACAAGAAUGAGGAUAAAGUUAUGCAAAGACGAUGUAAUUGUUGGAUACCAAAAGGGAUUGAGCUAAAAAUUAUAAAAAUAUCAGCUAAAUAUGAUGUAGCUUACU